UUUCUACUCCCUCGGACCGGAAUUACUUGUCGUGAAAAUGGAUGUAUCUAAAACUAAAAUACGUCUAGAUAUAUCCAUUUCCUCGACAAGUAUUUCCGAACGGAGGGAGUACUUC
Triticum aestivum (bread wheat) is the source of this 115-nucleotide non-coding RNA. NCBI's taxonomy places the organism in Eukaryota, Viridiplantae, Streptophyta, Magnoliopsida, Poales, Poaceae. The record is from Rfam.